AUUGAACGCUGGCGGCAUGCCUAACACAUGCAAGUCGAACGGCAGCACGGCAGUAGCAAUACUGUGGGUGGCGAGUGGCGGACGGGUGAGGAACACGUCGGAAUCUGCCCAAUUGUGGGGGAUAACUAAUCGAAAGGUUAGCUAAUACCGCAUACGACCGAGAGGUGAAAGCGGGGGACCGCAAGGCCUCGCGCGAUUGGAUGAGCCGACGUCGGAUUAGCUUGUUGGUGGGGUAAAGGCCUACCAAGGCGACGAUCCGUAGCUGGUCUGAGAGGAUGAUCAGCCUCACUGGAACUGAGACACGGUCCAGACUCCUACGGGAGGCAGCAGUAGGGAAUAUUGGACAAUGGGCGAAAGCCUGAUCCAGCCAUGCCGCGUGAUAGAUGAAGGCCCUCUGGGUUGUAAAUAUCUUUUAUCUGGGAAGAAACUCUUCUAUUCUUAGAAGCUUGACGGUACCAGAGGAAUAAGCACCGGCUAACUCCGUGCCAG
Molecule: ribosomal RNA, 489 nt
Filed under: uncultured bacterium
Lineage: Bacteria
Description: bacterial SSU rRNA
Rfam family: Bacterial small subunit ribosomal RNA
Source: RNAcentral